Molecule: transfer RNA, 73 nt
Filed under: Candidatus Beckwithbacteria bacterium RBG_13_35_6
Lineage: Bacteria; Candidatus Beckwithiibacteriota
Description: tRNA-Arg
Rfam family: tRNA
About the family: Transfer RNA (tRNA) molecules are approximately 80 nucleotides in length. Their secondary structure includes four short double-helical elements and three loops (D, anti-codon, and T loops).
Source: RNAcentral
GUGUCCGUAGUUCAAUGGAUAGAACGCCGGGUUGCGGACCCGGAAGUUGAGAGUUCGACUCUCUCCGGACACA